Molecule: ribosomal RNA, 574 nt
Filed under: Bacillus subtilis
Lineage: Bacteria; Bacillati; Bacillota; Bacilli; Caryophanales; Bacillaceae
Description: bacterial SSU rRNA
Rfam family: Bacterial small subunit ribosomal RNA
Source: RNAcentral
GGCUCGCAGGCGGUUUCUUAAGUCUGAUGUGAAAGCCCCCGGCUCAACCGGGGAGGGUCAUUGGAAACUGGGGAACUUGAGUGCAGAAGAGGAGAGUGGAAUUCCACGUGUAGCGGUGAAAUGCGUAGAGAUGUGGAGGAACACCAGUGGCGAAGGCGACUCUCUGGUCUGUAACUGACGCUGAGGAGCGAAAGCGUGGGGAGCGAACAGGAUUAGAUACCCUGGUAGUCCACGCCGUAAACGAUGAGUGCUAAGUGUUAGGGGGUUUCCGCCCCUUAGUGCUGCAGCUAACGCAUUAAGCACUCCGCCUGGGGAGUACGGUCGCAAGACUGAAACUCAAAGGAAUUGACGGGGGCCCGCACAAGCGGUGGAACAUGUGGUUUAAUUCCAAGCAACGCGAAGAACCUUACCAGGUCUUGACAUCGUCUGACGAUCAUAUAGAUAGGACGUCCCCUUCGGCGGCAGAGUGACAGGUGGUGCAUGGUUGUCGUCAGCUCGUGUCGUGAGAUGUUGGGUUAAGUCCCGCAACGAGCGCAACCCUUGAUCUUAGUUGCCAGCAUUCAAUUGGGCACUC